Molecule: ribosomal RNA, 496 nt
Filed under: uncultured bacterium
Lineage: Bacteria
Description: partial 16S ribosomal RNA
Rfam family: Bacterial small subunit ribosomal RNA
Source: RNAcentral
GAUGAACGCUGGCGGCGUGCCUAAUACAUGCAAGUCGAGCGAACAGACGAGGAGCUUGCUCCUCUGACGUUAGCGGCGGACGGGUGAGUAACACGUGGAUAACCUACCUAUAAGACUGGGAUAACUUCGGGAAACCGGAGCUAAUACCGGAUAAUAUAUUGAACCGCAUGGUUCAAUAGUGAAAGACGGUUUUGCUGUCACUUAUAGAUGGAUCCGCGCCGCAUUAGCUAGUUGGUAAGGUAACGGCUUACCAAGGCGACGAUGCGUAGCCGACCUGAGAGGGUGAUCGGCCACACUGGAACUGAGACACGGUCCAGACUCCUACGGGAGGCAGCAGUAGGGAAUCUUCCGCAAUGGGCGAAAGCUUGACGGAGCAACGCCGCGUGAGUGAUGAAGGUCUUCGGAUCGUAAAACUCCGUUAUUAGGGAAGAACAAAUGUGUAAGUAACUAUGCACGUCUUGACGGUACCUAAUCAGAAAGCCACGGCUAACUACGU